AACAAGCUUGACGGCAUUAAUUAUCAGACUGGUUACAAGGUUGUUCUAACAAGUCUGAUGCAGUCAUGAUAAACAAGAAUGUUACAAGGUUGACAACACAAGGUUGUAACAUGACUUCAUCAGACUUGUUGGAACAACCUUGUUACAAGCUUGAUAAGAUCAACAAGAUUGUU
Molecule: non-coding RNA, 173 nt
Organism: Paramuricea clavata
Lineage: Eukaryota; Metazoa; Cnidaria; Anthozoa; Malacalcyonacea; Plexauridae
Source: the annotation of a GenBank genome assembly